This 57-nucleotide small RNA is filed under the name Anolis carolinensis (green anole). The record is from RNAcentral. Lineage: Eukaryota; Metazoa; Chordata; Lepidosauria; Squamata; Anolidae.
GAUGCUGGUAGUUGGCACUCCUGGCUUCCAGGAUGGGGUUCAAGUCUCUGCGGCAUC